GGAGCCCUAGCGGCCUCUCCAUAGAGUGCCUGGAAUGCGAGACGUCAAUGUGACGCCAUGGGACGCUACGUCACCCUCCUCCUCCCUCCCCUGGCCCAGCCGGUUCCGCGUGUGCGAGGGUGUGUGUGUGUGUGUGUGUGUGUGUGUGUGUGUGUGUGUGUGUGUGUGUGUGUUCGCGCGCGCGCUCACGCGCGUUCCCCGGCCAUUCUCAGGGACGCACAAUGGAAACCGCGGGGAGCUGCGGACCACAGCCCUGAGGCUUCUCAGAUUCGCGCCGCCAACCCCUCUGCACCGGAGCUGCUUGCCAGGGCGCCGGUCUACCGGAGGGUGCCGCAGCCCGCCCGCGGGUCAGGCGGGACCGCCCAGCUGUCAGGCUCCGGGUGGAGUAGAGUUGGAGGAGUGCUGCUGGCUCGCCUCCGAGGCUGCCCCGAGGCACCUAGCCAGGUCGAGGGGGUAAGAGAGAGGACAGCUCUUCCGAAAGGGAAGGCUACGCCAGCCAGCUUCUCCGAGUGACCUGGCAGUCACUGCUGAAGGAGUCUGGCACCAGCCCGAAGACUCCCUGAGGUGCAGCUGUGCUUUCCUCAUGCAGUGGUUCUAAGGCUGUUUACGUCUCUCUGGCCCUUUGCGCCUAGGCUAAUUUGCCUCUUCCUCCUGUCUGCUGUUGGUGUUUCGCCCUAGGAUGCAGACCGCUCCAGGGACAAGAUUUUAUUUCUUUACACUUAUGGUGUGGUGUUCUUUACUGGACACUUUAUAAUCCAAAGAAAUGCACAUCGAGCCACGCGCGCGCUGCACGAGAAACUAUAUAUAAAACAAACACACCACACGUGUUGAACAGCUGAGUGAGUCUGACUGUUAAACAGAUCCUCUACUCCUCCCCUGCACCGGGUCACACUUGGAACUCGCACUUUCACUUUUUUUGAGGGUCGUAGACGCCUCCCCUUCCAUCUCUCAAAUGAAAUAUUUCAAAAUCAAUCAACAGGAUUCAUUAAGCGGUCUCUAGGGGAUCUUUCCUAUGGCCCAUUUGUCUUCCAAGUAUGCAGAAAGUCUGGGCGACUGUAUAAGGGACAGCGAUUUCUUCCUGGAAAUGAAUUUAGGAUGUCACUUUCUUGCUGAAAACAAAGCAAACCAGACAAACAAAACCAAAACAUGUUCGAGUUUGGAACUCUUAGUUCCAAAGGUGGCUACUAAGUGAAAGUAACCUCUCUCAGAAAUGAUUGUUUUACGAAGGAAAUGUUUGAAUGAAACAACUCAGACAGACGCGGUCUCUGGUGGUCUGCUAGAAUCCCAAGUGGCAUUUUUUUUUUUUUUGACUUGAGCCUGUGGGUGGCAAAGUUGGGGGAAGAGGAUCCCCUAGUCAUAGCACAUGCCCCAGAAUCGAAGAAGGUUCGAACUGGGACCAGAAACUCGAAAACAAAACAACACGUGCAUAGUGUGCCUCUCUAAGUCUACGCCUCCACUUUCACUUUAGCAGGCUGGUGUGCUUAAGACCGUGAGAGGACGCUCGGAAAGUUGUCCCAGCCCAGAGGAACCGAGCCCCCUGGCUGCGGGUGCGUUCCCAUCCUAGCCCAGAAAGAAGGAGGGCGCUCCUACAUUGAAUCCAUUCAAAGGCUGGGGGUUGGGGGAGCAGGACCUGGAGCCGCGCGGCGCUGACGCACGCGAGGCGCGUGAUUGACGCAGGCGAUGUUACUAAAUUGGGCGGUUGGCCGGGCCCAGGCGGCGGCGCGCGCGGCAGAUAGCGGAGUAGGUUCCCCUCGGUCACCCCCUCCCGUCUCCAUUCAGCGCGGCACGGCGUGGGGCGGGGCGGGGUGGGACGCGCGCGUCCGCGCCGGGAUCCGGCGAACCAAAUAUAGACGGGUCCCGGCUAUUUUUAGUGGGGCGUCGGGCGCGCGCGCGCGCCGCACCAAGGGGCGCCCCGACUCGGCCCGGAGAGCGGACUGCAGAGUCGCCAUCUUGUACUCGGCUCGACCCGGUCUGGUGCUGGGCAACUGGGGGCCGAGGGUAGGGGGCUGGAAGGGAGGCGCGGGCGCGAGCGAGGCGCGCUGCCUAUGGCGCGCGCGCUCUCAUGGCCCAGCGCGGUACCCCCCAACUGCUCGCCCCGGGCUCUGCAAGCCUCUGGGCCAGGUCCCGCCACGGAGACUGCCGGGCCAGCCCUGACUCGCGAGGGGGCGGAGCUGCCGGCGGCCGCCACUUCCUGAGAGCCGGGGAUACCCAUCCCGGACGUCACGGAGGAGUCGAGGCGGCGGUGGCGGCCCGGGGCUCAGCCUGCACUUGCAUCAUGGGUGAAGCAGCAGCUGCCCCGAUCCUUUGUGCCCCCCCCCCCCAUUGAGUAUCUGCUUUGUUAACUGAAAAUACCAUGACGGACCAGUGUGAUCACCAGUUCCAGACCUCAAAGAAAGUGAAGCUGUCAGGCAAGAAGAGGGAGACUCCCCCAGCCGGCUGCGAUGGUAUCUGAGAUGUCUCAUUUGGUCCAGACCCUCAAAUUCACUAUGCUGUUGAAGCUGACCUUGAACUUCUGAUCUUCUUUUCUCUACCUUCAAGUGCUAGAAGAGUUAUACAUGUACUCCACCACACUCAGUUUUGUGCAGCGUUGGGGAUCGAAGGCUUCAUGAAUGCCAGGCGAGAACUUUCCCAACUGAGCUACUGACCCAGCUCCUGUCUUAAUAAAGAUAGAAUAAAGCAUGAAUACAGAAUUAGAAAA
This is a non-coding RNA of Rattus norvegicus (Norway rat), 2698 nucleotides long. The record is from RefSeq and is a predicted model, not a curated record. NCBI's taxonomy places the organism in Eukaryota, Metazoa, Chordata, Mammalia, Rodentia, Muridae.